This is a non-coding RNA of Rattus norvegicus (Norway rat), 1033 nucleotides long. The record is from RefSeq and is a predicted model, not a curated record. NCBI's taxonomy places the organism in Eukaryota, Metazoa, Chordata, Mammalia, Rodentia, Muridae.
CCUCGGAAUGGGAAGAAAGCAAGAGGUCUCCAUAUUGGAAGAAGAAAAACGUCUUUUCUUUCUUAAUGCUGCUCUAACAUGGAGAAAAUGUGGUGGGCUGGAGGGAACGCUCUUCCCUGAUGUUUUGGAACAUCAAACCGUUCCAGAAAAGCAGUGAGAGAAGUAACUGUGAGGGAACCAGGCUGGCUCUGAAGGCUGGAGAGCGGAAGGUGGGCGGACCUGCCUUGCCAGGGUGGUGAUCCAAAAACGGGGCUUUCCAUUUCUGAAUUAUUUUUAAAAAGGCAAACAGCUAUCGAAAUUGACAAAAACUCAAUCUAUAGAAAGCACAUAUCCAAUUACCUUUCAUAGCAGCUCUCAGGGUCGUGAUGUCUUUGUACAGGGAUGUACAGAAUGGCAAGAAUUCCUUCUUUAGCACCAUGGCUUCGAUCCGAAGUGAAUAGCUGAGAAACGGCAAGAAGGGUUUUGCUGUUUAACCUAAGCUAACAGCUGGCUUUUGAUGUACUCGCCUCAGCCUUCUGGAUGGUAGGAUUACAGAUUCGGGUCAUUUUGCCUGGCUUGUUCUCAGCCCUCAACUCCAGUGUUGAGGGCCUGAACAUGGGUAGCUGUUCCACUGGAAUAUGACCCAGCCUGGACUACAAUAUUGGAGUGAGUGAAUACAGGUUGGAUCUCCAGUGGGUAGUAAGAAGGAUAAAAGCUUCAACUGAACAAUAAAUGUUAAGAUGACUGACAAAUAUGGGGGUGGAUGCUUGCAGCCAACCAUUGAACUGCGAACAGGGACCCCAAUGGGAGAGUUAGCGAAAGGACUGAAGGAGCUGAAGAGGUUUGCAACCACAUUGGAAGAACAACAAUAUCGACCAACCAUAGCUCCCAGGGACUAAACCACCAUCCCAAGAGUACAGAGGGAUGGACUUAUGGCUCCAGCUGCAUAUGUAGCAGAGGUUGACCUUGUUGGGCAUCAGUGGGAGGAGAGGCCCUUGGUCUUGUCAAGGCUUGAUGCCCCAGUGUAGGGAAUGUCAGGGCAGGGAGGUGGGAG